Cebus imitator (Panamanian white-faced capuchin) is the source of this 649-nucleotide long non-coding RNA. RefSeq lists it as uncharacterized. NCBI's taxonomy places the organism in Eukaryota, Metazoa, Chordata, Mammalia, Primates, Cebidae. The transcript is spliced from 3 exons. The record is from RefSeq and is a predicted model, not a curated record.
UUCUUCCCUUCCUCCUUCCUGCCGCUGUAGUGUACUGAGCACUUUGACGUAAGAGUAUUCCUCCACUCGAACAACUUCCUGGAGAGGUACUUCUGUCGCUGCCACCUGCGAGAGUUUGAGGCUGCCUCCCAGAGACGCGGCCCCAGGGUUAUUGUGACCAACGAAUUUUCUUCAACUUCUGUUGAUGGGCUGCUGUGCACAGGUACGGAGUGCACAGGGAACCUAGUAGGCAAGAUCCCUGCCAUCGUGCAUCUUACUGUCAGGUUGGCACAGACCUUAAGGACGCACCUGUGAUGCUAGAGUAAAAUUUGUAGGAGCUGAGCUAGAAACUUGACGUUGCAGCCAGUAAUGUUAAGCCCAGACUCAUACAUUGUGAAAUAUCAGAACAUUAGAGACAAACAGAUAAUGCUCUAAGUGUCUGAAGAGGGGUAGAAAACAGGCCACGUAUAAGGAAUGAUAAUAAAAAUGACUCUGGGCUUCUCAGCAACAUUUGAAGGAAGAAAACAAUGGAAGAGUUCUUCAAUGUAAAAGAAAAUGCCCUUCAACCUAGAAUCCUAUAACCAACCAAACUGGCAAUGUGAAGAUUGACUGUAGACACUUGCAACAUCUGAAGAAAACUAGGCCAGGCACAGUGGCUCAUGCCCGUAAU